Molecule: long non-coding RNA, 313 nt
Filed under: Sinocyclocheilus anshuiensis
Lineage: Eukaryota; Metazoa; Chordata; Actinopteri; Cypriniformes; Cyprinidae
Description: lncRNA (ENSSANG00000001873.1)
Source: RNAcentral
AUUUUUUUUUUGCUUAUUCAUUGAUAUUCUUAUUUAGGUUUGUAGUAUUUUUAUUUUCAGAGCACAAAGAAAGAUCGGGGCAAGAGCAGAAUAGAUGAAGAUGAACUCAAAGAGCUGAGCGUGUCACUUACUGAGCUUCAACAGCAAAAAACAGCCACACUUCAUACUCUGAAGAAGCGGAGAGAGGAAAUGGAUCAAGCUAAGAGAGAGCAUCUCUCUCUCCAGCUCAGUGUGAAGGACAGCAGAGCACAGGCUCAGAACAUCACGUGUGAGCUACAAAGACUGCAGGCCCAGAGGAACUUAUGCUUGGAGG